RNAcentral lists this ribosomal RNA (375 nucleotides) under uncultured organism. Its description in RNAcentral is "partial 16S ribosomal RNA". It matches the Rfam family "Bacterial small subunit ribosomal RNA", at positions 527 to 896 of the family's 1533-position model. The record is from RNAcentral.
GUAGGUGGCAAGCGUUGUCCGGAAUUAUUGGGCGUAAAGCGCGCGCAGGUGGUUCUUUAAGUCUGAUGUGAAAGCCCCCGGCUCAACCGGGGAGGGUCAUUGGAAACUGGGGAACUUGAGUGCAGGAGAGGAAAGUGGAAUUCCACGUGUAGCGGUGAAAUGCGUAGAUAUGUGGAGGAACACCAGUGGCGAAGGCGACUUUCUGGCCUGUAACUGACACUGAGGCGCGAAAGCGUGGGGAGCAAACAGGAUUAGAUACCCUGGUAGUCCACGCCGUAAACGAUGAGUGCUAAGUGUUGGGGGGGUUUCCCGCCCCCCUCAGCGCUGCAGCUAACGCAUUAAGCACUCCGCCUGGGGAGUACGGCCGCAAGACUG